This 433-nucleotide ribosomal RNA is filed under the name uncultured bacterium. Its description in RNAcentral is "partial 16S ribosomal RNA". It matches the Rfam family "Bacterial small subunit ribosomal RNA", at positions 29 to 507 of the family's 1533-position model. The record is from RNAcentral.
AACGAACGCUGGCGGCAUGCCUAACACAUGCAAGUCGAACGAGACCUUCGGGUCUAGUGGCGCACGGGUGCGUAACGCGUGGGAACCUGCCCUUAGGUUCGGAAUAACUCCCCGAAAGGGGUGCUAAUACCGGAUAAUGUCUUAGGACCAAAGAUUUAUCGCCUUUGGAUGGGCCCGCGUUGGAUUAGCUAGUUGGUAGGGUAAAAGCCUACCAAGGCGACGAUCCAUAGCUGGUCUGAGAGGAUGAUCAGCCACACUGGGACUGAGACACGGCCCAGACUCCUACGGGAGGCAGCAGUGGGGAAUAUUGGACAAGGGGCGAAAGUCUGAUCCAGCAAUGCCGCGUGAGUGAUGAAGGCCUUAGGGUUGUAAAGCUCUUUUACCCGGGAUGAUAAUGACAGUACCGGGAGAAUAAGCUCCGGCUAACUCCGUG